Molecule: ribosomal RNA, 616 nt
Filed under: uncultured Alphaproteobacteria bacterium
Lineage: Bacteria; Pseudomonadati; Pseudomonadota; Alphaproteobacteria
Description: bacterial SSU rRNA
Rfam family: Bacterial small subunit ribosomal RNA
Source: RNAcentral
UUCGGGUGUCAGCGGCAGACGGGUGAGUAACACGUGGGAACGUACCCUUCGGUUCGGAAUAACGCUGGGAAACUAGCGCUAAUACCGGAUACGCCCUUUUGGGGAAAGGUUUACUGCCGAAGGAUCGGCCCGCGUCUGAUUAGCUAGUUGGUGGGGUAACGGCCUACCAAGGCGACGAUCAGUAGCUGGUCUGAGAGGAUGAUCAGCCACACUGGGACUGAGACACGGCCCAGACUCCUACGGGAGGCAGCAGUGGGGAAUAUUGGACAAUGGGCGCAAGCCUGAUCCAGCCAUGCCGCGUGAGUGAUGAAGGCCUUAGGGUUGUAAAGCUCUUUUGUCCGGGACGAUAAUGACGGUACCGGAAGAAUAAGCCCCGGCUAACUUCGUGCCAGCAGCCGCGGUAAUACGAAGGGGGCUAGCGUUGCUCGGAAUCACUGGGCGUAAAGGGCGCGUAGGCGGCCAUUCAAGUCGGGGGUGAAAGCCUGUGGCUCAACCACAGAAUUGCCUUCGAUACUGGUUGGCUUGAGUUUGGUAGAGGUUGGUGGAACUGCGAGUGUAGAGGUGAAAUUCGUAGAUAUUCGCAAGAACACCAGUGGCGAAGGCGGCCAACUGGACC